Long non-coding RNA from Prinia subflava (tawny-flanked prinia), 1914 nucleotides. RefSeq lists it as uncharacterized. The transcript is spliced from 3 exons. The record is from RefSeq and is a predicted model, not a curated record. NCBI's taxonomy places the organism in Eukaryota, Metazoa, Chordata, Aves, Passeriformes, Cisticolidae.
AUUUGAUGUCCCUGAUCUUGGUCCAGUGAGUACCUGAACCAAGCCCAGUAAUCGGUAAGGUAACAGAGGUAUUUUUGACGAUUGAAGAACAUUUAGAAAGAGGAAAAAGUUCAAGUGAAUUAUAAUAAAAAGCCCCUUCUUGUGAAUCUGCCCGGGAACCCCUUUUUAAGCGUUAUUAGCAGACAGGCCUGUGUCCUUUCCUUUGAUGACGGUAACAAGUUCUAUGACAUUGCCACUUUGAGUUCUUGCUUCAUUAGAUUGGGUGACUGUUUAUUUGAAAUUGUAAUGAAAUAUUUACUUUAUAGAGCUAUAAGGAUUAGCAGCGAUAAUUGAGUGAGGCUGAUCCGGAGCUUUCAGUGUAAUAGGGCCCCCUUGUUUGAAUACAGAGCGCGGGGAGAAUGGAGGGGCGAGGGGAGCGCGUUUCUGCCUGUCACUUUCCCUCUACAUGUUGCUUUUUCUCCCGGAGAUAAGUGGGCCUAAUGCUGAACAAAUACGGGAAAUCGGGAGCCACUGAGAAUCAUUCGCCUCUCGCUUUCCCAUGGCAGCGUGAUAGACGCCCGCUCAAAAGAGCCCCCCUCCUCCGGGCCGGCGACGAGGCUGUCACCGCCAGCAAAUCCAACGGCGGGGCGGCCGGGCCGGCGGGCCCGGGGCGAGGCGGAGGGCGCGGGCGGAGGCGGGAGCCGGGCCGGGCCUGCCGGGGGGGCGGCGGGCACCUGGAGCCGGGAUAGGCCGCGCCGUGCCGCCGCAUUGUGCCCGGGAGACGCGCCGCCAUUUGCAGAGAUAAUGGGAGAAAUUAAUGCAAAUGAGUGAAUGGAACGAAGCGCAUUUUCAUGCAGAUCGGAGGGGCUCGCGCGGGCUGCUUGAUAACAAGUCGCGGGGAGAAAAGGCCGACAUUCCCCACCAUCUUUCCCCUCUGUGACAGGAAAUUUGCUGUCUGAGCAGCACCCAGGAUCUGGGCAAGGCUGUACUGCAAAACAGAAGGAGCAAGUGUAUAAUGAGGGCUUCAGUCCCGUUAAUGGUGUCACUGCCUUGAAAUAUGUGUACAUUUUCUGUUGCGAAUUAGGAAGAUAAAAUUUUUAGUAGCCUGGUAAAUGGACUUGAAGUGAGAUAUUGAUCUGGUAAAAUGGUACCAUAUUGGAGCUGUCUGUUGUGGUAUUCAUCAUGCUGUCACAUCCCUAGUGCCUUGGAGUUAUUGAAAAGCGGAAUUGAGGGAGUUCUGUCACUGUGUGUUGCAAUCCAUUCAUAAGAAAGUUCACUAAAACAUCUGAAGUACUGUUCUUGCUUAUUUUUUUAUUUACCUCUAGUAUGAACCAUUUCACUUCUUUGAGGUACAGAACCCUCCUAUUUCAGGCCCAGGGACAUUGACAUGCUUGGUUACCUCUCCUCGGAUGCCUUUCUCUUGUACAACAUUUGAUCUUCAGUCAAAGCUCACACCUGCUGCCUUUACGGAUGCUUAUGCAUUUGGGUUCUGUCCUGUGGGAGUAAUAGAUCUAAAAGCUGUGGCUUCAUUGUCCUUAUACUUUUAUCUGAUAGCUGUGAGAAGGUAAACGAUGAAGUUUUAUAUGUAGAAAGCUUUUAGUUUCUUCCCACACUAAAGUAUCAGCUAAUGUUAAAAGAGCUUUCAAAAAUAUAUAAAGAUACUGUCAAUCUGCACCAAGUAGAUUAAACAGUUUGAAUGAAUUAUUUUUGUUUUGGAGUCUGCCUGGCAACCUGAUGAUGAAUUUAGAAGGAUGUCAUGUUUUCUGUAAGGCCAUGAUGAAAAGGGGGUUUAUUUACACAUAUAAGAAACAAUUUAACUGUUUAAUCCAGCCAAACUAAGGGUCUGCUCUGCAGCUGCAACUGCCUGUAGUUGAUACGCACAAGUAAUCACACCCAAUUUAAAUUUAGUAUAUAAGAGUUUAGCAGAAGAGCAAU